This 73-nucleotide transfer RNA is filed under the name Calothrix sp. NIES-4101. RNAcentral describes it as "tRNA-Thr". It matches the Rfam family "tRNA". Rfam says of the family: Transfer RNA (tRNA) molecules are approximately 80 nucleotides in length. The record is from RNAcentral. Lineage: Bacteria; Bacillati; Cyanobacteriota; Cyanophyceae; Nostocales; Calotrichaceae.
UACAUACUAGCUCAUUUGGUAGAGCAUUCGACUUGUAAUCGAAGAGUAAUAGGUUCGAUUCCUAUGUAUACGC